Molecule: ribosomal RNA, 429 nt
Filed under: uncultured prokaryote
Description: bacterial SSU rRNA
Rfam family: Bacterial small subunit ribosomal RNA
Source: RNAcentral
UGGGGAAUAUUGGGCAAUGGGCGAAAGCCUGACCCAGCGACGCCGUGUGGGCGAUGAAGGCCUUCGGGUUGUAAAGCCCUGUGACGUGGAAAGAAGGGUCCAGAGGUUAAUACCCUUUGGACUUUGACGGUACCACCAGAGGAAGCACCGGCUAACUCCGUGCCAGCAGCCGCGGUAAUACGGAGGGUGCAAGCGUUGUUCGGAAUUACUGGGCGUAAAGGGCGCGUAGGUGGUUGUGUAAGUCAGAUGUGAAAUCCUUAGGCUUAACCUGAGAACUGCAUCUGAUACUGCAUGGCUCGAGUACAGCAGAGGGAAACGGAAUUCCUGGUGUAGAGGUGAAAUGCGUAGAUAGCAGGAGGGACACCGGUGGCGAAGGCGGUUUCCUGGGCUGAUACUGACACUGAGGCGCGAAAGCGUGGGGAGCAAACA